GAGAGGAAGAGGAAGAAGAAGAAGAAGGAA
Molecule: small RNA, 30 nt
Filed under: Arabidopsis thaliana (thale cress)
Lineage: Eukaryota; Viridiplantae; Streptophyta; Magnoliopsida; Brassicales; Brassicaceae
Description: ATSL150340
Source: RNAcentral